AAGCUGGAAAAGUGAUUUAAGCAUUUUGGUUGAACAUUUGCACUAAAAUAUAUUUAGCAAAAUUAUUAAAUGAUUCAAGGAUUAACUCAGCGAUAUUAACUAUUGUGCCACUUUUUUGAAGAAGUAAACUUUAUGUUUCAAAAAAUAGAGUAUAUGUGAUGUUCUUGAAGCUAUAUUUAGACAAGAAGCGGGACAUUUAAGAAGAAAACGUGGUAGAAUCAAUAAUGGUUUUAUUAAAUUAAAAAAGUAUAAAGCUUAUACAUUUAUAACAAGUGAGAACACAUACAUAAUAAAAGAUAUUUAUUUUAAUAUA
Bombus huntii is the source of this 313-nucleotide long non-coding RNA. RefSeq lists it as uncharacterized. The transcript is spliced from 2 exons. Lineage: Eukaryota; Metazoa; Arthropoda; Insecta; Hymenoptera; Apidae. The record is from RefSeq and is a predicted model, not a curated record.